Molecule: unclassified non-coding RNA, 348 nt
Filed under: soil metagenome
Description: partial contains 5.8S ribosomal RNA, internal transcribed spacer 2, and large subunit ribosomal RNA
Rfam family: 5.8S ribosomal RNA (bases 1-120)
Source: RNAcentral
GAUGAAGAACGCAGCGAAAUGCGAUAAGUAAUGUGAAUUGCAGAAUUCAGUGAAUCAUCGAAUCUUUGAACGCACAUUGCGCCCGGCAGUAAUCUGCCGGGCAUGCCUGUCCGAGCGUCAUUUCACCCCUCGAGCCGCUUUUAGUGGAUCGGUGUUGGGGCACUACGGUAAAACGUAGGCCCUGAAAUGAAGUGGCGGUCCCGCCGCGGUGCCCCCAUGCGUAGUAACGUUUAGUCUCGCAUCGGGUCCAGGCGGAGGCCUGCCGUCAAGCCUAUUUAUUCUCAGAAUAGUUUGACCUCGGAUCAGGUAGGGUUACCCGCUGAACUUAAGCAUAUCAUAAGCGGAGGA